UAGCUAUCACUGAGAUCACUCGAAGGACUGAUCUCACUCCUGGAGUAAGGAGGACUAAGAGACCCAAUAUUGCUAGAGUACCGGUUGGAGGAUAUGUAGAGUAUAAGGACCACUGGGGGAACACGCCCAGCAAUACUUAUGGUCGUGAAGCAGUCCAUAUUGUUAAUCCUAUACCCAGCCCCACUCCUAGAAGUAGAAGAAAUAUUAACAACAAGAGAACAAGAGAUGAGGAGGAUUUGUAUCUGUCUUUUGCUUCUCCUGAUGAUCCUGAGAAUAUAGUGAGACAUCAUAUCUGUAAGUACAUGUG
Amphimedon queenslandica is the source of this 307-nucleotide long non-coding RNA. RefSeq lists it as uncharacterized. The transcript has 3 exons. Lineage: Eukaryota; Metazoa; Porifera; Demospongiae; Haplosclerida; Niphatidae. The record is from RefSeq and is a predicted model, not a curated record.